This is a non-coding RNA of Phrynosoma platyrhinos (Desert horned lizard), 73 nucleotides long. The record is from the annotation of a GenBank genome assembly. NCBI's taxonomy places the organism in Eukaryota, Metazoa, Chordata, Lepidosauria, Squamata, Phrynosomatidae.
GCCACCAUGGCGUAGUGGUUUGAGUGUUGGGCUAUAACUCUGUGAAGACCAGGGUUCAAUUCCCAGUUUGGCC